GCUGGGUGUGGUGGCGGGCACCUGUAAUCCCAGCUACUCAGGAGGCUGAGACAGAAGAAUCGCUUGAACCCAGGAGGCAGAGGUUGCAGUGAGCCCGAGACUGCACCAUUGCACUCCAGCCUGGGCGACAGAGUGAGACUCUGUCUCAC
Pongo abelii (Sumatran orangutan) is the source of this 149-nucleotide unclassified non-coding RNA. It matches the Rfam family "Metazoan signal recognition particle RNA". Rfam says of the family: The signal recognition particle (SRP) is a universally conserved ribonucleoprotein. It is involved in the co-translational targeting of proteins to membranes. The eukaryotic SRP consists of a 300-nucleotide 7S RNA and six proteins: SRPs 72, 68, 54, 19, 14, and 9. NCBI's taxonomy places the organism in Eukaryota, Metazoa, Chordata, Mammalia, Primates, Hominidae. The record is from Ensembl.